UGGAAAUUGGAUAAGUUUUGAUGGAAGCUGUAAAGUUGGUACUUAAAAGUCUCCAACCAGAACCAACUGAUAAUCAGGUUGCUGUUUCUAGUAGCAAAGCAUCAAAUUAAAAUCAUGGCUUGGAAAAUUUUAAAAAUACCUGAAAACUGUGGGUAAUGUGAUAGAAGAAACAAACAAUUUUCUGCCUAGCAGGAGAUUAGGUUUCAAUUGCAGAAGAGACAAUAAAUCUUAUAAAUCCAAUAUUCUGUGAAAGCAAAGAAUCUUUUUGUUAUAAUAAGCACGUAAAUCUAAGGCACA
This 297-nucleotide unclassified non-coding RNA is filed under the name Hevea brasiliensis (rubber tree). The record is from RNAcentral. Lineage: Eukaryota; Viridiplantae; Streptophyta; Magnoliopsida; Malpighiales; Euphorbiaceae.